Molecule: ribosomal RNA, 419 nt
Filed under: uncultured bacterium
Lineage: Bacteria
Description: partial 16S ribosomal RNA
Rfam family: Bacterial small subunit ribosomal RNA
Source: RNAcentral
UGGGGAAUAUUGCACAAUGGGCGCAAGCCUGAUGCAGCGACGCCGCGUGGGGGAUGACGGCCUUCGGGUUGUAAACCUCUUUCACCAUCGACGAAGGUCCGGGUUUUCUCGGAUUGACGGUAGGUGGAGAAGAAGCACCGGCCAACUACGUGCCAGCAGCCGCGGUAAUACGUAGGGUGCGAGCGUUGUCCGGAAUUACUGGGCGUAAAGAGCUCGUAGGUGGUUUGGCGCGUUGUUCGUGAAAUCUCACGGCUUAACUGUGAGCGUGCGGGCGAUACGGGCAGACUAGAGUACUGCAGGGGAGACUGGAAUUCCUGGUGUAGCGGUGGAAUGCGCAGAUAUCAGGAGGAACACCGGUGGCGAAGGCGGGUCUCUGGGCAGUAACUGACGCUGAGGAGCGAAAGCGUGGGGAGCGAACA